GGCUGUUGUAUUUGAGUGUGUCCUUUCUUGUUGUAGCCUAGGAUUUUGCUGCUCUGCUAUCAUUGUUAUGUUUUAUAUCACGUUACAGCUCUGAACUCUCAUUUUAAGAAUUUUAAUGCUCGGCCCACCAGCACAGGUGAAGGGCAUAUGGUUUGGAGACUCCUUGCAGGUGUUGUGACACAUACAUAGUACAUUUGGGGCAGACUCUCUUAUGGCUACUUUCAAGGGGAAAAAAAAACCUGCAAAGAAGAGAUGAAGAUAGUGGUAGCAAAAGCAAGCUGAAACUGAAGGAACAUAAAAGGCACAUUGCUUCAUGAACUUGCAGGAGAAACUUCAAAUGAAGAAAACAAAUCAGGCUGGAGACUCCUCAAAACAAAAAAAUUUCCUACCAGAUUUUCACUCAUGGUUGUAGUAAAUACAAGUGACAUGUUUCAUGUCAGUGAAACAGCUGAACUUAGUCUCUAGUACUUUGAUGACUUUUGAUGCUUUUUGACCUUGAGAAACAGACAUGGGAACUUGAAGACCAAUGGGAUCAGUGUGCCUGUUUGAAGGUUAUGCUAUGGAUGCUGCCAAUAUCUCUGCUUACAGAGGCAUUUUUCAGACAUGACUAAGAAAGAAAAUGAGCUUGCCUCGAGCUCUCACUGAUGGACUACAAAAACUUAAUCUUGAAGAGGAAAUUCCUUCAAUUUGCUCAUUUGGCAGAUAGUAGCAUGCUUUUUUUAUUUACUUUGCUUAGUGCCAGGGCAGAGGAUUGUAACUUGAUGUAAUGUGGGUUCAGUGGUAUGUUGAUGGGUAAUAGUAUAAGGUAGUUUCCUGCUCCCACUUUAUCCUACUGCAAUUUGCAUGGCUGGUGGGUUUCAGCAGUUUCAAGCUAAUAUGAGGAGGCUGGGGUAGAAGGGAUGUGAGCUGAAGGACCAUCAGGGGCUCUUAUAGAGAUGGAGAAGUUAUUAAAUAGGAGCAUUCUCUGAAAGAAGUGAUCAAAAAGGGUCAUGAAGGGGGAUAUGCAUACUAUGCAAUCUAAGAAAGAAGUAGAAAAAGUGGAUAUAACUUAAGCAUUUUGAGCUAUGCAGAUCCAACUCUUGUUAAAUCAGAAAUGCAGGCUAAAUUGGUCCAUAGCAUAAUAGUUCAAUCCAAUUUCUCUCUACUGAAUUUUGCCUUUAAGAAUGACUAUAGGAAGACUUUAUUUUGUUCAGUAAAGAAACAAGGAGGGAAACUCUUGAUUGUUUUAUAUUGUGUGUGUUUUGGAGGUGUGAGCUUCCUGAAGGAACAAUGUUUCUUCCUGGACUGUGACAUUAAAAAUAAACAAAAAACCCCACCUAACUUAUUUUCACUUGCAUUCCUGAAAAACUGAGUGCAUUUUGUAGAGGACUUAGGUUUGUUUGGAUAACUGAUGUCAGCAUAGUUUAAAAACUAAAACAUAAUAGUCAUAGCUCUAAAAAACACAUCACAGCAGAGCACAAUAGAAAAGGGAACUAAUCUAGCUCAUGCAGGAAUGAGAAUUAUCUUUAGUCCAAUAUUGCUUAGGAGGAAUAGCUACUGUUUGUAACCUUAAUUAUUCACAGCUAAGUUACUCUACCUUAAAUUUAAGGGAAAUUCAGACUGUUCUCUGAGAGUAUAGUCAUUUGGUGCAAUCCAAGCGCCACCAAGGCUGCCCUGAGAGAUCUCUGUUGUAUCCAUCAGGACUCCUGAUUAUUUCUGAAAUGAAAGAUUUCAC
Non-coding RNA from Meleagris gallopavo (turkey), 1714 nucleotides. NCBI's taxonomy places the organism in Eukaryota, Metazoa, Chordata, Aves, Galliformes, Phasianidae. The record is from RefSeq and is a predicted model, not a curated record.